AUUGAACGCUGGCGGCAUGCUUUACACAUGCAAGUCGAACGGUAACAGGCCGCAAGGUGCUGACGAGUGGCGAACGGGUGAGUAAUGCAUCGGAACGUGCCCAGUCGUGGGGGAUAACGCAGCGAAAGCUGCGCUAAUACCGCAUACGAUCUAUGGAUGAAAGCGGGGGACCGUAAGGCCUCGCGCGAUUGGAGCGGCCGAUGUCAGAUUAGGUAGUUGGUGGGGUAAAGGCUCACCAAGCCGACGAUCUGUAGCUGGUCUGAGAGGACGACCAGCCACACUGGGACUGAGACACGGCCCAGACUCCUACGGGAGGCAGCAGUGGGGAAUUUUGGACAAUGGGCGCAUGCCUGAUCCAGCAAUGCCGCGUGCAGGAAGAAGGCCUUCGGGUUGUAAACUGCUUUUGUGCGGAACGAAACGGUCCUGGUUAAUACCUGGGGCUAAUGACGGUACCGUAAGAAUAAGCACCGGCUAACUACGUGCCAGCCGCCGCGGUAA
RNAcentral lists this ribosomal RNA (498 nucleotides) under uncultured bacterium. Its description in RNAcentral is "partial 16S ribosomal RNA". It matches the Rfam family "Bacterial small subunit ribosomal RNA", at positions 30 to 523 of the family's 1533-position model. The record is from RNAcentral.